CUUUGAGUCUGUAUCCGUUUCCUGUGUAUCCACGUGUUCGGUUGUAAAUAUUAACAUCAAACUUUUGAUAUUUUCUUGAGUACAAAAUUCUUGGUUCUCUAAUAAAUCCGAUAAAACCAAGGUCUCUCUGUUAAUAAUAAAGCUGCUUGUUCUAGUUCUUGGUCUCUCAAUCGGUGUGAGUAUGUCAACACAAAACCAUUUAUUUGAAAUGCAGAAUCAUUGCUUUCGAGUGAUGGAUUCUUACUUAAUUUGUUGUUCCAUCAGUGUUUGAUUAUUUGUUAAAAACUAUGGAAAUCACUAGACUUUCCCAAAUCUGAGGUGUAGAAGAAGACAUUUUUUCCAUGGCGAUUUCAAUAUCACAAUGUCUCUGGUGAAAGCAAUCAACUUGGAGGAUCAGAGGUCGGCUUUGAUCCAGUGGGAAAGUAUGGAAGAGCUGGAAAAUACUGUCGCACCCUAUGUUUCCGAAGUGAUUAAAAAGUCUAUUUAUGGUGGUUAUAAAAGUGCAAGUGAAGUGUUUGAAGAUUAUAAAACCUUCAACGCUCUUCUUAAAAAAAUGGUAGACAGAAAAUAUAAGCUUCUUGUUGAAAGAUAUGUUGAGGAGUACAUCUAUCGCUACACAGUGUAGAUCCAUGCCAAGAUGCUUUAUGAGUUUGCUUCCUUGUUAUUGCUAACUGGUAAGGCCCUUCAGAAAGAGCACAGAAAUUGGAUCCGUGAUCAUAUACUGAGAGUUGAAUUUAACCAGGAGAGGCUUCUGUCGGACUCUCUGGAGUUUUUUUUAUUAUGUAUGGGAGAAGAUGAUGAAUCAGUUGGACAAGGAUGCUCAGAGGGAAGUAGAUAAACAAAAGGAUGAAAAGUCCAUCCAUUUCCUGAAAUAUCUGACCGAACUCAAGUUCGAACUCGAGUUCAAUAAUGUUGAACAAAAGAUAACAGAGUUCGAGGAGCUAGAGUCUGAAAUCACCUGUAUGAAAACUGACCGGGUUUUGCGAGCUAGACAUUACACUAUUUAUUAUAAGACAUUGAGCGGUGUAGAGGAUCAAUUCAACAGGCUUGAAAUUGCAUUUAUUAAACUGCUACCCAAGGGCGAGGUAAGCUGAAAUUUGAUUUAUACUGUAAUUACUAUUUAAUUCAGUUAACAAGCUUGUGCCUUUUAGUGCUUAUUAUUUGUAUGUAUUAUUGGUGACUCGGAAUGAUCUUGCAAAAAAGUGGUAUGUCGAAAAAAUACGCAAGCUGGAGCUCGUCCGGAAAGAGGGAGCCCGUCCGGAAAGAGGAGGAGGAAUAUAGGAACGCAUGAACUGUAAGAAGAUGGGGAAGGAGGCUAUGGUCUCUUCUGGGGUUCUUUUGUAAAACUACGGGUGUGCUCAUCUUACACCACAACUUUAUAAGCUUAUUCGAACUAUAGCUUCUAAAUAAAUUUAUGCCUUUGUUGGAACAGUUAUCGCUCUCUGAAUUCUGCAAACUCAGUUAUUUAUGAGUACCUUGCUUGAGUAUGUAA
Papaver somniferum (opium poppy) is the source of this 1492-nucleotide long non-coding RNA. RefSeq lists it as uncharacterized. The transcript has 5 exons. The record is from RefSeq and is a predicted model, not a curated record. NCBI's taxonomy places the organism in Eukaryota, Viridiplantae, Streptophyta, Magnoliopsida, Ranunculales, Papaveraceae.